GGGGCUCAGUGGUAAGGUAUCUGCUUGGCAUGAAGAAGGUGCCAGGUUCAAUCCUUGGCAUCUCCA
Molecule: transfer RNA, 66 nt
Filed under: Sphaerodactylus townsendi
Lineage: Eukaryota; Metazoa; Chordata; Lepidosauria; Squamata; Sphaerodactylidae
Description: tRNA-Ala
Source: RNAcentral